AGCCGCCAGGGCUGCCGAGGCAGCCACGAUAGGAAGGGCAGGGGGCCUUCCACAGAAGCUGGCACAGCCUCCUUGGGACACGUCCUGGCUGCUGGCCAUCCUAAACCCACGGGUGUGACAGGCACAGGGAACGUGUGGGCCAGGGCACCAAUGCUGCUCUGACCCCUGGGGCCUGGGGAGCACUGACAUCGGCAGGUGUGGCAGAGUCCCUGCCCAAGCAGACCUGCCACCCCCCGAGCCCUGGCAGCGCUGGUGCCCCUCUCCUGCCCCAGGGACCUGUGCCCCGGGGGGCUUCUGUGCCUGGGGCAGCCAAAGCCCAUGUGCGCUGGGGGCUGUGCUCCUUCCUGCAGGGGCUGCUGGCAGGAGCACCCAGAGCAACUGCUGGCAACACUUGGUCUCAGUCAGAAGCUCUUACUCCACACUGAAGUUAUUUUCUCAUUGAAGUAAUUUCCUUCAGCACAAAAACACCUUAGCAGGGAAGGCACAGAAGAAUCUGUCAUUUAACAAUCCUCACUUCAGGAAAGCUUUACUUCCCAUUGCUCAACUCAAGUAGUUCCAAAAAGUUGCAAACUUCCCCAAUUCAUUGGGAUGGCCUGAGAAGGUGAAGAGUUGGAAUUUUGCUUCCGGUCUCAAAGCAGCAACUCAUUUGCCUUAACCUCAUCCACUGAGAGUCACUUUAUAGAACAUAACACUACAUAGAGGCAAAAAAAAGGGCCAUUCUUUGGUUUGCCAAAGGUUUUCUCUGAAAGGAUGAUAUUUUCCUAAUUCUCUUAAGGAAUAAAAGUUUUUAAGAAAUAAAAGUCCACUCAGUCUUACGAAAGAAGCCCAAACAAAUGAGUAGAUGGCAAAAGGGCCAAUCCUCCCCCUGGUACAGUUAUCUCAGUGGCCAGUAAAGUACAGCUCUCCCCUCUUGUUCCCUGCAGAGAAUCAGGACCAUGAACAGGAAAAGUCACAGAUAUUCUUUCUGCCCUCCGUAACCAAAGCUGUGCCAAACCACAGAUGCUGCCUUCAAACUGACUCAAAUUCCAGCCAAGACCUUUCACCUUCCAGACAACGCCUUCUCCAACACCCCACCAACACAACCCCCCCCAAACUCCCACACAGAAGCCCUCAACACCCUGCCAGGACCCCCAGCUGUCCCCAUCCCUCUGCAGAACUUCCCACCCUCCAGCAGACCCCCUGGUUCCCUGCAUGUGCUGUGGGAUGGCUCUCAGGAGGAUCUGCUCCAAGGCCUUCCCUGGUGGCAGCUCAGGCUGCCAGGCCUGUGGUUCCUGGAUCACCCUUCCCACCGAGCCUUCCUGUGCACGGCUGUUCCGUUGGCACCUUUGCUCAGCUCGGACUUCUCCACUUAACCAGGACUGCUGUGUCCACGCCAUGGGACUCAUAUUUUCCCCUCAGAGAUAUGUCUUCCUCCUUGAUAUUUUCCCCUGCUUUUGCAGUAUGUGUCAGUGUCCACGCCAUGGGACUCAUGUUUUCCCCUCAGAGAUAUGUCUUCCUCCUUGAUGUUUUCCCCUGCUUUUGCAGUAUGUGUCAGGUUAGUUUUGGCAUCUCUUUUUCUUUUGUGCUGCAUCUCAUUUCCUCCCAGGCCAUUUUCUUGUAGUCGCUAAAUCUCCAAAAGUUCUGAUAUUUGGGUUUUUUUUCUCUUGCAUUUCAUUUGAACGUAUCUCCUUUCCAGAGCGUUUGUAAGCCUUUCUUUCCUGGGUGGCAAGAUUUCGUUUCCUGAUCCGAAAGGAAUUUCAUUUCCUUUUGGGCCGGGAAACGAAAUCUUGCGAUUUCACUGGGGACCAAUUGGGCUAUCCAUGGUCCAUGUCCCUGCACUUGAGGGAAUCCCAGGACUUUUGAUGGUUUUGACUUGGGCAAAAAUUUCUUUUUGUUUUUUCAGUAUCCAUGUCAUGUGACUCAACUCUUCCCAGCAAAGUUCUGUCUUGCUCCCUGAUUUUUUCUCCUGCUUUUGCAACAUCUGUCCGCUUAGUUUUGGCAUGUUUUGGCCCUUUGCACUGCCGGGGUCAUGUCAUCCUGGUCCAUUUUCUUGCUGUCCAAAAAUCUCACCUUUUUUUUUUUUAUUGUUUCAGUUUCCAUGCCCUGGGUCUGAUAUUCUCCCCUCAGAGAUAUGUCUUCCUCCUUGAUGUUUUCCCCUGCUUUUGCAGUAUGUGUCAGGUUAGUUUUGGCAUCUCUUUUUCUUUUGUGCUGCAUUUCAUUUCCUCCCAGGCCAUUUUCUUGUAGUCACUAAAUCUCAAAAAUUUCUGAUGUUUUGGGGUUUUUUUUCAGUUGCAUUUGUUUGAUCGUAUCUCCUUUCCAGAGCGUUUGUAAGCCUUUCUUUCCUGGUUUGCAAGAUUUCCUUUCCCGGUCUGAAAGGAAAUUUCAUUUCCUUUUGGGCCGGGAAAUGAAAUCUUGCGAUUUCAAUGAGGACCAACUGGGCUAUCUGUGGUCCAUGUCCCUGCACUUGACGGCAUCCCAGGACUUUGGAUGGUUUUGACUUGGGCAUAAAGUUUUUUUUGUUUUUUCAGUAUCCAUGCCAUGUGACUCAUAUCUUCCCAGCAAAGUUCUGUCUUGCUCGCUGAUUUUUUCUCCAGUUUUUGCAACAUCUGUCUGCUUAGCUGGGACCUAGCUUCUGACCACUUUGGUUUUGGAGGAAUCCAGCAAAAUUUGGAAAUUUCUAGCUUGGGUGGUCAGCGUGGGCCAGGGCGAGUGGCCGCAAAGAGAGGCCAUUUUGCAGGGGAAAAAGAAGUCAUUUGGCCAGGCUCUGGGCAUCAGAUGAAAGCUGGCAUUUGGGGCUAUAAGGCCGAGCUGGGAUCUAGCUUCUGACCACUUUGGUUUUGGAGAAAUCCAGCAAAAUUUGGAAAUUUCUCUCUUAGGUGGCCUGGCCCAACGAGGGCGAGUGGCCGCAAAGAGAGGCCAUUUUCCAGGGGAAAAAGAAGUCAUUUGCCCAGGCUCUGGGCAUCAGAUGGAUGCUGGCCUUUGGGGCUCUAAGGAUCUGGAUUGGCCUAGAUUCUCGUAGGGGAAGGAGAACUUCCUGGGGACCACUUGAGUUUUGGAGAAAUCCAGCAAAAUUUGGAAAUUUCUGUCUUGGGUGGCCAGGGUGGGCCAGGGUGAGUGGCCGCAAAGAGAGGCCAUUUUGCAGGGGAUAAAGAAGUCCUUUGGCCAGGCUCUGGGCAUCAGAUGAAAGGUGGCCUUUGGGGCUCUAAGGAUCUGGAUUGGCCUAGCUUCUGACCACUUGAGUUUGGAGAAAUCCAACAAAAUUUGGAAAUUCCUGUCUUGGGUGGCCAUGCUCAACCAGGGUGAGUGGCCGCAAAGAGAGGCCAUUUUGCAGGGGAAAAAGAAGUCAUUUGGCCAGGCUCUGGGCAUCAGAUGAAAGCUGGCGUUUGGGGCUCUGGGCACUUGCUAGGACCUAGAUUCUGACCACUUGAGUUUUGGAGAAAUCCAGCAAAAGAUGGAAAUUUCUGUCUUGGGUUGCCCGGGUCGGCCGGUGUGAAUGGCCGCGAAUGAAAUUGACCUGCAGUGCCUCUCUCUGUCCACAAGGCGGUAGCGCUGGAAGAAAUCCCUGGUGGGGGAAGUUGCACCAUUUCUCACUUUUUGCAAUGGGCCAGCACUGCCACCGUCAUCUCUUUGGGGGAGGGACUGGGAGCGACUUGGAGGGACGUGGGGAGGUGCCUUGGAGUGAAUGGGAGGGACUGGGACAGACGGCACUUUGUUACUGGGAACAUUGGGAGGGACUGGUGGGCACUGGGACAAAGGGUCUUUGUGCUGGGAGACACUGGGGGUCAUUGGGCAGAGCCACUUUGUUACUGGGCGGGAGUGGGAGGGAUUGGGAAGGACUGGGACGGAACAGCUUUGUACUGGGAGCACUGGGAGGGACUGAGACAAAGGGGCUUUCUACUGGGAGGGAACUGGGGGUCACUGGGGAUUACUGGGAUAGAGCCACUUUGUUACUGGGAGGGACCAGGACAGAACGGCUUUGUUACUGGGAGCACUGGGAGGGACUGGGACAUCACUCGGAUGGACUGGGAGCACUGGGAAGGACUGCGAGUUACUGGGAUGAACUGGGAGCAGGGGUCACCCCCUGCCGGUGUCCCUCGACAGGGAUGGGGGUGGGGCCACUCCAGGGACACCUCGGGGACGUCUUGGGGUGACCCUGGGAACAUCCCACAGACACCUUGGGGACAGGCAGGGGACACUGCAGGGCCACCCUCGGGGGACAUCGUGGGGACACCAGCGCUGCAGCCAAUGUGAGAAGGGGGUGUGCUUGGGGGGCGUGACCAGGGCCCACUGAGCCAGCUGGGCCCACCUGGGAAAGAGGUGGGGUUAAAAAAGGGGGCGGGGCUUGGGCUGGGAGGAGCCAUGCCCCCACCCCAGGCCCCUCCCCAGGAUUGAUCUUAAAGCCAUGCCCCUCCCUUAGGCCCCACCCCCACCCUGACCCGUCCCAUUGUCACACCCCAUUGCCAAGGCUGGUCCCCCUUUCCCUCAAGCCCCACCCCCUUUCCCCUAAGCCCCUCCCCCUGCAGGCCCCAACCUCUCUCACCAUUGGCUGACGAGCUCCUGGAGGCGGGGCCAGUCCCUGAUUUGCUGCUGGCAGCUGGCUAUGACCAAUCGCAGAUGGGGCAGCAGCUCGGCCACGCCCUCGGGGAGGCGCAGGGCUGGCUCUGGCCCCGCCCCCAAAGCGGGCCCCGCCCCCUGCCGCGCACGCAGCACCCCCGGUGGAGCUGCUGCCGCAAGAUGGCUGCCCGGGACAGCAGCGCCCCCUGCUGGAGGCGGGGCUGGUGUGAGGCCUGGCCACGCCCCCCACCCCACAGGCCAAGUCCACAAUGGGCAGGACACUUCCCACCCCUCCCCCACCCUUUCAGUCUCCAUUAAGCCCCUCCCCCACCCUGGGCUUUCUGCCCAUCCCUC
Molecule: long non-coding RNA, 4887 nt
Organism: Passer domesticus (house sparrow)
Lineage: Eukaryota; Metazoa; Chordata; Aves; Passeriformes; Passeridae
Exons: 3
Source: RefSeq, a predicted model, not a curated record